RNAcentral lists this ribosomal RNA (223 nucleotides) under uncultured bacterium. RNAcentral describes it as "partial 16S ribosomal RNA". It matches the Rfam family "Bacterial small subunit ribosomal RNA", at positions 118 to 341 of the family's 1533-position model. The record is from RNAcentral.
UGAGCAAUCUGCCCUUCUCAUCGGAAUAAGCGUUGGAAACGACGUCUAAUGCCGAAUACGACCUCCUUUCGCAUGAUCGGAGGUGGAAAGCUCCGGCGGAGAAGGAUGAGCUCGCGGCCUAUCAGCUAGUUGGUGUGGGUAACGGCCCACCAAGGCGACGACGGGUAGCCGGCCUGAGAGGGUGACCGGCCACACUGGGACUGAGACACGGCCCAGACUCCUA